Molecule: transfer RNA, 73 nt
Filed under: Anaerolineales bacterium
Lineage: Bacteria; Bacillati; Chloroflexota; Anaerolineae; Anaerolineales
Description: tRNA-Thr
Rfam family: tRNA
About the family: Transfer RNA (tRNA) molecules are approximately 80 nucleotides in length.
Source: RNAcentral
GCCACCGUAGCUCAGUUGGUAGAGCAAACGAUUCGUAAUCGUUAGGUCACGAGUUCGACUCUCGUCGGUGGCU